This 206-nucleotide ribosomal RNA is filed under the name uncultured bacterium. RNAcentral's name for it is "partial 16S ribosomal RNA". It matches the Rfam family "Bacterial small subunit ribosomal RNA", at positions 134 to 334 of the family's 1533-position model. The record is from RNAcentral.
GUGGGGGGAAGUAAACCUCGGGAAACCGGGGGCGUAAUACCGCAUAACAUCACGAGCUGUAAACGUUUGUGAUCAAAGGAGCAAUUCGCUCAAGGAGGGGGUCGGCGGCUGAUUAGUUAGUUGGUGAGGUAACGGCUCACCAAGACUUAGAUCAGUAUCCGGCCUGAGAGGGCGCACGGACACACUGGAACUGAAACACGGUCCAG